Molecule: transfer RNA, 73 nt
Filed under: Canis lupus familiaris (dog)
Lineage: Eukaryota; Metazoa; Chordata; Mammalia; Carnivora; Canidae
Also listed under: 1 other name
Rfam family: tRNA
About the family: Transfer RNA (tRNA) molecules are approximately 80 nucleotides in length. Their secondary structure includes four short double-helical elements and three loops (D, anti-codon, and T loops).
Source: Rfam by way of RNAcentral
GCCUGGCUGGCUCAGUCGGUAGAGCGUGUGACUCUUGAUCUCACGGUCAUGAGUUCAAGCCCCACGUGGGGCA